This 72-nucleotide transfer RNA is filed under the name Caudoviricetes sp. RNAcentral describes it as "tRNA-OTHER". It matches the Rfam family "tRNA". From Rfam's summary of the family: Transfer RNA (tRNA) molecules are approximately 80 nucleotides in length. Their secondary structure includes four short double-helical elements and three loops (D, anti-codon, and T loops). Further hydrogen bonds mediate the characteristic L-shaped molecular structure. tRNAs have two regions of fundamental functional importance: the anti-codon, which is responsible for specific mRNA codon recognition, and the 3' end, to which the tRNAs corresponding amino acid is attached (by aminoacyl-tRNA synthetases). tRNAs cope with the degeneracy of the genetic code in two manners: having more than one tRNA (with a specific anti-codon) for a particular amino acid; and 'wobble' base-pairing, i.e. permitting non-standard base-pairing at the 3rd anti-codon position. The record is from RNAcentral. Lineage: Duplodnaviria; Heunggongvirae; Uroviricota; Caudoviricetes.
GCAGACGGAAGCUGGGUGGAUGCAGCUCCGUGUAGAGUAUCGGGUUCGCAGGUUCAAAUCCUGCCGUCUGCA